Molecule: long non-coding RNA, 479 nt
Organism: Oncorhynchus tshawytscha (Chinook salmon)
Lineage: Eukaryota; Metazoa; Chordata; Actinopteri; Salmoniformes; Salmonidae
Source: Ensembl
GUGUGCCUGCGUGCGUGUGCGUAAAUAUCAGUAAAAAUGACCUCUCUACCCCCCCAUAACGGAGGGGCGGAGGUGGAUGAGAGAGAGGAGGGGGAGGAGAGAGACAUAACACCAGGCAGUAGGGGGGUGAGAGAGAGGAGGGAGAGGAGAGAGACAUAGGACCAGGCAGUAGGGAGGUGAGAGAGAGGAGGGAGAGGAGAGAGACAUAAGACCAGGCAGUAGGUGGAUGAGAGAGAGGAGGUGGAUGAGAGAGAGGAGGGGGUGAGAGAGACAUAACACCAGGCAGUAGUUGGAUGAGAGACAGGAGGGGGAGGAGAGAGACAUAACACCAGGCAGUAGGUGGAUGAGAGAGAGGAGGGGGAGGAGAGAGACAUAACACCAGGCAGUAGGUGGAUGAGAGAAAGGAGGGGGAGGAGAGAGACAUAACACCAGGCAGUAGGGGGGUGAGAGAGAGGAGGGAGAGGAGAGAGAGGAGGGGG